This 384-nucleotide ribosomal RNA is filed under the name Triticum aestivum (bread wheat). Its description in RNAcentral is "partial small subunit ribosomal RNA". The record is from RNAcentral. Lineage: Eukaryota; Viridiplantae; Streptophyta; Magnoliopsida; Poales; Poaceae.
AUGAAGCUGUUGUUGGCCGGGCCCCAGGAGACGACGGCGUCCGUGGCCGGGUCGUCCACCAUGUCGUACGUCUUCAUCAGGAACGGCGGCGGCGCGCCCGCCCCCGCCCCCGCCCCGGGAGGCGCCACCGCCGUCGUCACCGUCGACGACGCCGCGGCCGCAGCCGCAGCGGCGGAGGCCACCGCAGCAACCCCGCCGUCCAUCGCCGUCCUCGAUCCGUACGGCCCCGGCCCCGACCUCGGAGCUCAGCCCCGCCGCGCGGGAACACCACCAGCCGGAGUCGAGGGAGCACCUCCGAUUGGAGCAGGGCGAGAGGGAGUGGGGGAUUUGGGGGCGGGGAUUGAUUCUAGGUCUGGGGGUGGAGGUGAAAGGUGGGGUCUUUGA